RNAcentral lists this ribosomal RNA (319 nucleotides) under uncultured Verrucomicrobiaceae bacterium. Its description in RNAcentral is "bacterial SSU rRNA". It matches the Rfam family "Bacterial small subunit ribosomal RNA", at positions 1064 to 1382 of the family's 1533-position model. The record is from RNAcentral. Lineage: Bacteria; Pseudomonadati; Verrucomicrobiota; Verrucomicrobiia; Verrucomicrobiales; Verrucomicrobiaceae.
GUCGUGAGAUGUGGGUUAAGUCCCGCAACGAGCGCAACCCUUGUGAACAGUUGCCAGCGGGUAAUGCCGGGAACUCUGUUCAGACUGCCCAGAUCAACUGGGAGGAAGGUGGGGACGACGUCAGGUCAGUACUGGCCCUUACGCCUUGGGCUGCACACGUACUACAAUGCCCGGCACAAUGAGAACCGAAACCGCGAGGUUGAGGAAAUCUGGAAAACCGGGCCCAGUUCGGAUUGGAGGCUGCAACCCGCCUCCAUGAAGUUGGAAUCGCUAGUAAUGGCACAUCAGCUACGGUGCCGUGAAUACGUUCCCGGGUCUU